UGGUUUAUUAAACAGCCAAGUCUGUUUAAGGUGUAAUUCCUCAGGAAGAGCAGUGUGCUUGUGGCCAUUUAAACGAGUUAACGGAGCGUGCCCGUCCAAGCCCGUGUGUGCUUUUCUCCAGGCACAAACCCCAGCUCGACCGGCGGGCGCCCGGGGCUGCAGUCGGCCGAGUCGCCUCAGCCCCGCAGCUCUGUGACCUCUGGCUCCUGCCCAUGUCACAUCCCUGUCCUCCGGGUGGAAACUGCAGAAGAAAGUGCAGGAUGCGCCUUGGUUUCGCUGACACCGCUCCAGCCGCGCUGGCUCCCGCACUGAAUCCUGGUAAAAUGCAGUAAAGGAUUUAAGGUUAUCAUCUGUCUCUCUCUAACUUCUGACAUCUCUUUAUAACAAGAAAGAGUCACAGCCAACUGUAACAGGAGGGCAACACAAUGAAUCCUGCUUCUCAGCCAGAAGAAUAUCCUGAAGCAAAUUACUGUCAGAAGCCAAAAAAAGUAUCCAUAAUUCAUCCUAACGCACUGUCAACUUAAUUUUAAAGUAAUUUUUCUGCUUUACGAGUUCUGGCUGAAGUGGUAAGUUUGCAAAUCCAUAAAUCAAACCAUAGGAAAUAAGGGAAAUACAUACCUCUGUUUAAAAUAUUCUGUUUUCCUACUUCAUUGUAAGCAUAGUUUUUUAUUAAUUAAAACUUCAGUCACUAAGAAGAGAAGAGACAAAAUUAUGGAUUGUAUUCUUUACAACUGUACACAUCUGUGUUGUGACUCCAGAGCCAUCUCUUGGGCUAUAGAGAGCUUUUUCAAGAUUUAUAAUAGAAGAAAUUAAUUUAGAUUGUGUAUUCCUGUGAGCACUCUGAGGAGCACAUGUGUACGUGUGUGAAUUAGGCUGAGCCUGUUGAAGUCUGUAAAGGGCACACCGUGCUGUGAUGUCUCCUGCAUUUGUCCUGGGGCCCUGUGCAGGUGUGCAGAUACUCACGAAAUGUCCUCAGUUUCCAAUUGUUUCCAAACUGACCUCACACAUCUCGAAUAACAGUGAGGCUGAUUCAAGUUCUUUAGCUUAAGAGACACAUUAGAGAGCAGGUGUGGAAGCCUUCUGUGGAGAAUCACUGAAAAUUUGGUGCAACCUGUGUCCCUGAGUGCAAGAACAGCAGCCUGGCUGCAAGUGUGAGCAUGGCCUUGUUUGUGCUCUUCUGCACACUGGGGGAAAAUUGUGCAGAAUUCCUUGUCCCAGGACUCAGUUUAUCAUCACAGAGGGAGUGGAGCCCCAGUGUGUGUUCCGGCUCAGAGCUGCCACCAGCAGCUACUGAAUAGCACGACGUUCUGAAUCUCGACACAUCAUGAAAAUCCUGCUUUAAUCAAAUGCUCCCGGGGGAGCAGGAAAUUCAAGAUGCACUUCCAGCCUGGGCUGGUGCACACCACUGGGUCAAUACUUGGCAUAAAGAGCUUUCUGCUUGUCGGUGCAGUGGAGGGGGGUCAGGGGACACUCGUAGCAAGCAAAACCAACAGGCAGCACAUGAGGUAACAUGACAGCAUAAGGGCAGCAAGAAAGAAGAGGCAAAGGUACGGGACUGAGUGGGGCCCUGUGGUGGCUGGAUUAGAAAGUGUUUUGCCUGUCAGCUUGAGCUGUUUAAUUAAGGAAUUUCACAGUAAUUUUGACUAAGCUUAACAAGCAACAAAUUCAGUGCUCUGGCUCACUAAAUUCUUUCUUGCAGUCUAAAUAAGCUGCAGAUCUCAGAGCUGGAGGAAUUCAGUGCCUUAACAGCACUUUCUCUCCAGCCUGCACUGUAGGUGCUGUAUGAGAACAUGGAGCUGCACGUCACAGUACAUUUUUACCAUGGGUUAAGGGAAACUGUUCUAACACUCCCAGCUUCUGCUGGCCAGUCAUUCUCUCUUUGUAAUUAGCAUGAAGACUACCCUUCAGUCAAAACUAGCCACCUGGAAAGUUUCAGCUUGUAAUAUGCAGCUUUUUUUUUUUUUUUUUGUGAAUUAUGAAUGUGCAAAAAAGAGACCUUUCUCCUUACACCCACUUCCUUGCAUAAUUCAAAUGUGAAUGAAUGAAUUUUAUUCAGGCUUGCCAAAAAAAAAUAUAUUUCAGCUGAUAACAAGCAUGAAAAAUUUCAGAUGAAAGGGAUUUUUUUUUAAAAAAAGAAUAUUCUGAGCAUGGGAGAACAGCAGGUUAAGACAGAAGUUUCUGUGCAGCCUUAACUGUAACAAUUGCUAUCAAGCAAAUACCAUAUCCAAGCACUAAAUCUUGCUUUGUGCUGCCCUAGUGCACAGUAGCAGGGACAGAGUAGAAUAAUAAAAUCUGAUCCCCUUAUGCAAACAGCAGGGCACAGCACUUGAGAGAAUACAAGGAGAAGGUGAGCCUGCCUACUGUUGUGGCUUGCUAACCAUAUUCCCAAGGUCUGUGGGUUAGUUGUCUCCUCUAGCUCCAGUCAGAUAGCAAAAGGAAUUUCAAACACUAGCAAAGGGAAUGUUUUGCUCCUUUCCAGAAGAACUCUUUACUAAUUCCUUGCCUCCAAAUGUACUGUUCUAUUAAAUAAAGUAUUUGAAGGAAUUCUUAUAAGCAACAUUACGGUUUAAUGGGUCAAAAAGGGAAUGGAAUCAGUGCCAGGCAUUUUUGUGAUUAACUGUAUUUUAAAAAUAUGUAUCUGUGAAGAAGGUAUUAUCUGUGCAAAGCAGAAUGAGAUUUGGGCUCAUGCCAGUACCACUUUGAAAAUAAACUAUCACAGUGAAGAAAUGUUACCAUCUGGAACAUUUCUGCAUCAGAUUUUCUCUUGUCCCUAAUAAUGCCUUGGUGAUAAGUCCAGCUCUCCUUUUCUACUCAGAAAACAGGAUUAAAACUCCCAUUCAUUUACUAUGUGUUUGUUAAAAAAAUGCCCAUUACAGUGGCUAAACAGCAGUGAAUACUAAAGUAUUACCUUUCAGAUUCACAGUUCCACAUUGAUUAGAGGAUCAACAGACAGGAUUUGCAAAUGGCAAGCCUGGGCAUAAAAAUCCCCUUCCAGUCUGACGUGAGUUGACUGUUGCAAGUUGAGCUUGGCAGCAAUGACCAAAAUUGAGUUGUCAGCAUCCUCCUGCAUAGUGGAAGAAGUUGUUGCUUUCUCGUGCAGAUGCAAGAGUUUCUGUGGGAAAACAGAACAUAAUCAUGGUUCUGAAUGUCUCUGUGGAUUGGUAAUGUCUCUAAUACAUAGAUCACUUGUGCAAAUUCAGUCCCAGCUGGAUGGGAAAUUAUUGAAAAUGGUUGUUGCUUGAUUGAUAUAAAAUGAGUUGUCAGCUUGAUUCAAUGCCUUCAGGGCAGAUGUCCACAGCAUAAUUGGCACCUGUCAGAAACAAAGAAUUCCUUGGUACAGAGUAACAGCUACUCAUGCAACCACCCAGAACAGUCCUUGCAUGCCAGGGCUCAGAGAAGAAGGCAGAAAAAAAAAAUACUUCUGGGCAGGAUCUUUUAUGCCAUAAAGUCAAUAAGAGAUUUGAUGUGACACUUGGUGCUAGCUUUUCCCUGGGAUCCUGGCUGCACACGAUCAGCUUUUCUGCUGUUUGGUCAACACUUUCCCUAAGAAUUAGAAGAAAACUCACACAUUUGGUUACUUGCUAUUAUUGUCAUGGUGAAGGUGGGUUUAUAAAGACCAGUUAAUAAAGAAAUGUUUACAUGUUUGCUCAUUAUAAAAAUGCUGUGAAUAAUUUUAUUUUUAUAUUUCUUGAGAAAUUCUCCUCACAACAAUACAACUAAAGAAAAAAGAGAGUGUCCUCUCAGCAAAAAAUAAGGCAAAGAAACAGCCAGGACUGACAGUACAGCAGUGUCAGUAUCACACUGUUUGCUAAUAGUAAACAGUGAUCUAUUGUUUACCACAGAGUAGAUUAAAAUGGAUUUUUUCCUAUAAGUCGCUAAAUAGCUGUCAUAUGGUUAUUACUGCCUUUGACCAAGUGUGGUACAGCUAACAACAGGAAUGAAUUCUAACAACAGUGAUGAAUUCCCAUCACCAAUCUGUCGAGCUGGCCACCUUCUUCAUGGGGCUGGUGCUUUGGGAGGUACUAGCUGAAGGACUUUCCAUUAAAACUCAUUUUACUGUGUUCAUCUAGUGCAUGGCUCAACUUUCCUUCUCUCCUUUCAUCUCUGUUUCCUCCCUCAGAUUAUUUUUCAUUAUGCCUCCCCCCCCAGCAUACCCACACUUUGCCUUUCAUCUCUCUAUGUAUGCUAUUCCAGCACUUGUCAGGCCCAGCAGGAGGCACAUGGGAGAACCAAACAAUAUGAUAUGUUAGGUGGAAGAAAAUAUUAGAACAAUCAUUUAUUGUCACACUUUAAAGAGGUCUGCUAUGUUAUUUAUUUUAUUAUUCUGUAUUAGGUACAUGGUUUAGUUUUACAGGCAUUAUUAAUCACUGAAAUACAUUACACUUUCAGCCAGGACGUUAACAUUUUAAAUGCAUUCAUCUUGCUUCUUUAAACAGAAACAAUGGGUCUUUUGCACUGCCUUCCCUCCUCUUUAGUCAAUAAAUCCUUUCUAUUGAUUCAGGAAAUAACUCUUAAACCCUGUUUUAUAUUUUAAGUUCCACUAGCUACCCUUAGCCAUAUAAUUUUGCUCAGUAACAAAUGGAUCUUCUAUUUUUGCUGUUUACUAUGUGUUUGGUUAUCAAACUCAGCUUGAAAAUAUUGGGUAGAAGAGGACAAAAACUGUAAUGGCAGUGAGCCACCAUGAGAGAUUUCCUAAAUGAAUGUUGCAAUAAAAUAAAGUAUCUGUAAAAAGUGUAUGUGUGUGUGUAUAAAAAGCGAUCUCAUCAGUAGAUGAAUGAUAAAUGAAAAAAUCCAUCAGUGAGUAUGGAUUCCCUUGAGCCAGCCUGGAUCAACAGACAAUAUGGAUUUUUGAUAAUUCAUGGCUUUGCCAUUAUUUAUUCUCUCCUGAAAUACCCAUUGCAAAUCUCAGAAAGAUAAUUAGAGAAUUAUCAUAUUGCUUAACUAAGUAGUGCAAAUUGUAUUAGAUUCUAUGUAUCCCAAUCCUGGGCAGAAUCAUUAGUGUUGUUUAAUUGUUACAAAUAUAGUCAUCAUUUUAAUAAAUUGCCUUCAUUGUCAAUAUCCACAAUUGACUACUUCCCUUAAUGUUGGUGGAUAGGUUAGUUACCAGGUAAUCUUACAGUUAAGAUAUACCACAAUGAAGCAAAAAUGUAAGAAAAUGCAAAGGUCAAAACCAUGUUUCUAUUAUGAAAAAAAUGAAUGAUAAUGACAUAAUUUUUUCAGCUCAUCAGGUUCUUUG
Motacilla alba alba is the source of this 5236-nucleotide long non-coding RNA. RefSeq lists it as uncharacterized. The record is from RefSeq and is a predicted model, not a curated record. The transcript is spliced from 5 exons. Lineage: Eukaryota; Metazoa; Chordata; Aves; Passeriformes; Motacillidae.